RNAcentral lists this unclassified non-coding RNA (331 nucleotides) under soil metagenome. RNAcentral describes it as "partial contains 5.8S ribosomal RNA, internal transcribed spacer 2, and large subunit ribosomal RNA". The stretch from base 1 to 120 matches the Rfam family "5.8S ribosomal RNA", at positions 35 to 154 of the family's 154-position model. The record is from RNAcentral.
GAUGAAGAACGCAGCAAAAUGCGAUAAGUAAUGUGAAUUGCAGAAUUCAGUGAAUCAUCGAAUCUUUGAACGCACAUUGCGCCCGCCAGUAUUCUGGCGGGCAUGCCUGUUCGAGCGUCAUUUCAACCCUCAAGCACAGCUUGGUGUUGGGACUCGCGUUAAUUCGCGUUCCUCAAAUUGAUUGGCGGUCACGUCGAGCUUCCAUAGCGUAGUAGUAAAACCCUCGUUACUGGUAAUCGUCGCGGCCACGCCGUUAAACCCCAACUUCUGAAGUUGACCUCGAAUCAGGUAGGAAUACCCGCUGAACUUAAGCAUAUCAAUAAGCGGAGGA